CAAAAUUCAAGCAGCCAGUGGGGUACACCAUAAAAGUAGACGGUGACAGAAUCCAUGGAACUGUAGGACAUCCUGCUGGUGUUGGAGAAUUGCUUGGUGUCGGGGAAGGCGUCACAAGUCAGACUGGGUGCAGAACAGUCAGCAACCAGGGUUUCUUGGUACUUUGCUGCAAGCCUGUUUGCUGUAGACAUCUUUGCCACAAGUGUUUUCGCUGCAUAACCACUUGGCCCUAUGGCAAUUUUGCCGUAAAAGAUAAAAAUCACGAAAAAUAAAAGAGGGCCAUUCAUUCCAAAGGAUGCAACAAAACGUGAAAAAGAUGAAUAGCAAAAUUAAAAGGACUUUAUUGUGAAAUACAAAAGAUUUGAAUAGGUUUAAAAUAUGUGUCUGGAGAUUCACGGCAGUCCUGCCCAAAGAACCAGUUUUAUUUUGUGUGUGUGGAUUGCACCUCACUAAGCACCUUCCUUUGUUCCGUGGGACAUGUGGGUUCAACUCUGCCCCCUCGAAGAAGAGGCCUCGGCCCUCUUCUCCUCCUCCAAUAUAGUGUGAUUCAAAAUAAGAAACAACUCUUGGGGCAAAUCAUCGACACGGUCAGCUCGAUGAAGCCAUCAGUAAGACACUGACUGGAAGAAAUGCCAAGUAUUUUAGACCGCUACCGUCACCACCAUGUCUGCAGGUCACCGUGGAGACCACUCUGAGGGCUAGCCAAGAUUUAUAGCAUAUAAAAAUGGGAGGAACUGUGAGAACUUCGUCAAUGGAGAAGUGAAACCAAACUGGAAAAAAAAGACAAAACUGUCAACCAGUUAUGUUCUUUUCUUUUAUGGCGGUUGAUUCGUCAAUGGAGAAAUAAAAG
This 850-nucleotide long non-coding RNA is filed under the name Equus caballus (horse). RNAcentral describes it as "lncRNA (ENSECAG00000054860.1)". Lineage: Eukaryota; Metazoa; Chordata; Mammalia; Perissodactyla; Equidae. The record is from RNAcentral.